RNAcentral lists this long non-coding RNA (1510 nucleotides) under Prunus persica (peach). Its description in RNAcentral is "long non-coding RNA (PPER_LNC008084)". The record is from RNAcentral. Lineage: Eukaryota; Viridiplantae; Streptophyta; Magnoliopsida; Rosales; Rosaceae.
AGAACGAACUUCGUACGAACCUGAAUUGUCCGAUUUCAAGGACCAAUCGAUCUCGGAUUGAGUCCAAAACUUGGGGAACACCAUAAUAUUGUGGGAGGAGUCAUUUGGUGGGUUUUAAGUGAAAUCCAAUCUCUUCAACUACACAAUACACCAAGCACCCCAUUUCAGAACGAACUUCGUACGAACCUGAAUUGUCCGAUUUCAAGGACCAAUCGAUCUCGGAUUGAGUCCAAAACUUGGGGAACAUCAUAAUAUUGUGGGAGGAGUCAUUUGGUGGGUUUUGAGUGAAAUUCAAUCUCUAGAACUAUACAAUACACCAUCCACUCCAUUUUAGAAUAAACUUCGUACGAACCUGAAGUGUCAAAUUUCGGGGACCGAUCGAUAUCGGAUGGAGUCCAAAACUUGGGGAACAUCAUAAUAUUGUGGGAGGAGUCAUUUGGUGGGUUUGGGGUGAAAUCCAAUCUGUAGAACUAUACAAUACACCAACCACCCCAUUUCAGAACGAACUUCGUACGAACCUGAAUUCUCCGAUUUCACGGACCAAUUGAUAUCGGAUCGAGUCCAAAACUUGGGGAACAUCAUAAUAUUGUGGGAGGAGUCAUUUGGUGGGUUUUGAGAGAAAUUCAAUCUCUAGAACUAUACAAUACACCAACCACCCAAAUUCAGAACGAACUUCGUACGAACAUGAAUUGUCCGAUUUCAAGGACAAAUCAUAUCGGAUUGAGUCCAAAACUUGGGGAACAUCAUAAUAUUGUGGGAGGAAUCAUUUGGUGGGUUUUGAGUGAAAUCCAAUCUAUAGAACUAUACAAUACACCAACCACCCCAUUGAUGAACGAACUUCGUACGAACCUGAAAUGUCCGAUUUCAAGGAUCAAUCGAUAUCAGAUUGAGUCCAAAACUUGGGGAACAUCAUAAUAUUGUGGGAGGAGUCAUUUGGUGGGUUUUGAGUGAAAUCCAAUCCCCAGAACUAUACAAUACACCAACCACUCCAUUUCAAAAAGAACUUCGUACGAAAACUGAAUUGUCCGAUUUCAAGCCCCAAUCGAUACCGGAUUGAGUCCCAAACUGGGGACCAUCAUAUAUGUGGAGAAGUCAUUUGGUGGGUUUUGAGUGAAAUCCAAUCUCUAGACCUAUACAAUACACCAAGCACUCCAUUUAAGAACGAACUUCGUACGAACCUGAAUUGUCCGAUUUCAGGGACCAAUCGAUGUCGGAUUGAGUCCAAAACUUGGGGAACGUCAUGAUAUUGGGGGAGGAGUCAUUUGGUAGGUUUUGAGGGAAAUACAAUCGCUAGAACUAUACAAUACACCAACCACUCCAUUUCAGAACGAACUUCGUACGAACUUGAAUUGCCCGAUUUCAAGGACCAAUCGAUAUCGGAUUGAGUCCAAAACUUGGGGAACAUCAUAAUAUUGUGGGAGGAGUCAUUUGGUAAGUUUUGAGUGAAAUACAAUCCCUAGAACUAUACAAUACACCAACCACUCCAUUUCAGAACGAACUUCGUACGAAC